UCCAAAGGGAUCGCAUUG
RNAcentral lists this small nuclear RNA (18 nucleotides) under Arabidopsis thaliana (thale cress). RNAcentral describes it as "snRNA_05444". The record is from RNAcentral. Lineage: Eukaryota; Viridiplantae; Streptophyta; Magnoliopsida; Brassicales; Brassicaceae.